CAUGCAAGUCGAGCGGACAGAAGGGAGCUUGCUCCCGGAUGUUAGCGGCGGACGGGUGAGUAACACGUGGGUAACCUGCCUGUAAGACUGGGAUAACUCCGGGAAACCGGAGCUAAUACCGGAUAGUUCCUUGAACCGCAUGGUUCAAGGAUGAAAGACGGUUUCGGCUGUCACUUACAGAUGGACCCGCGGCGCAUUAGCUAGUUGGUGGGGUAAUGGCUCACCAAGGCGACGAUGCGUAGCCGACCUGAGAGGGUGAUCGGCCACACUGGGACUGAGACACGGCCCAGACUCCUACGGGAGGCAGCAGUAGGGAAUCUUCCGCAAUGGACGAAAGUCUGACGGAGCAACGCCGCGUGAGUGAUGAAGGUUUUCGGAUCGUAAAGCUCUGUUGUUAGGGAAGAACAAGUGCGAGAGUAACUGCUCGCACCUUGACGGUACCUAACCAGAAAGCCACGGCUAACUACGUGCCAGCAGCCGCGGUAAUACGUAGGUGGCAAGCGUUGUCCGGAAUUAUUGGGCGUAAAGGGCUCGCAGGCGGUUUCUUAAGUCUGAUGUGAAAGCCCCCGGCUCAACCGGGGAGGGUCAUUGGAAACUGGGAAACUU
Molecule: ribosomal RNA, 606 nt
Filed under: Bacillus pumilus
Lineage: Bacteria; Bacillati; Bacillota; Bacilli; Caryophanales; Bacillaceae
Description: bacterial SSU rRNA
Rfam family: Bacterial small subunit ribosomal RNA
Source: RNAcentral